GAACGAGAAAUAUUUUAUUGAAACUUCGGUCGAUUUAAUUUAUUUCUAGUGGCGGACGGGUGAGUAACGCGUGGGUAACCUGCCUUAUACUGGGGGAUAACAGCCAGAAAUGACUGCUAAUACCGCAUAAGCGCACAGAACCGCAUGGUUCGGUGUGAAAAACUCCGGUGGUAUAAGAUGGACCCGCGUUGGAUUAGCUGGUUGGCAGGGCAGCGGCCUACCAAGGCGACGAUCCAUAGCCGGCCUGAGAGGGUGAACGGCCACAUUGGGACUGAGACACGGCCCAGACUCCUACGGGAGGCAGCAGUGGGGAAUAUUGCACAAUGGGGGAAACCCUGAUGCAGCGACGCCGCGUGAAGGAAGAAGUAUCUCGGUAUGUAAACUUCUAUCAGCAGGGAAGAUAAUGACGGUACCUGACUAAGAAGCCCCGGCUAACUACGUGCCAGCAGCCGCGGUAAUACGUAGGGGGCAAGCGUUAUCCGGAUUUACUGGGUGUAAAGGGAGCGUAGACGGCGCAGCAAGUCUGAUGUGAAAGGCAGGGGCUUAACCCCUGGACUGCAUUGGAAACUGCUGUGCUUGAGUGCCGGAGGGGUAAGCGGAAUUCCUAGUGUAGCGGUGAAAUGCGUAGAUAUUAGGAGGAACACCAGUGGCGAAGGCGGCUUACUGGACGGUAACUGACGUUGAGGCU
RNAcentral lists this ribosomal RNA (688 nucleotides) under uncultured Lachnospiraceae bacterium. Its description in RNAcentral is "bacterial SSU rRNA". It matches the Rfam family "Bacterial small subunit ribosomal RNA", at positions 64 to 753 of the family's 1533-position model. Lineage: Bacteria; Bacillati; Bacillota; Clostridia; Lachnospirales; Lachnospiraceae. The record is from RNAcentral.